GGGAGUGUAGCUCAGUGGUAGAGCAAGUGUUUGCCUAGCAUCUAGCAUGUGUGAGGCACUGGGUUCAAUUCUCAGCACUGCAU
Molecule: non-coding RNA, 83 nt
Organism: Ictidomys tridecemlineatus (thirteen-lined ground squirrel)
Lineage: Eukaryota; Metazoa; Chordata; Mammalia; Rodentia; Sciuridae
Source: Rfam